RNAcentral lists this transfer RNA (74 nucleotides) under Ignavibacteria bacterium. Its description in RNAcentral is "tRNA-Val". It matches the Rfam family "tRNA". From Rfam's summary of the family: Transfer RNA (tRNA) molecules are approximately 80 nucleotides in length. Their secondary structure includes four short double-helical elements and three loops (D, anti-codon, and T loops). The record is from RNAcentral. Lineage: Bacteria; Pseudomonadati; Ignavibacteriota; Ignavibacteria. RNAcentral also lists the same sequence under 1 other name.
GCGCUCUUAGCUCAGUUGGUUAGAGCGUUACCUUGACAUGGUAAAGGUCACAGGUUCGAGUCCCGUAGGGCGCA